GGCAGAUCAUGAUGGGAUCACCCGAAAGGAGGAAGGCACCUGGAUGAUUCCUGAUGUCUCUCUGCC
Molecule: regulatory RNA element, 66 nt
Organism: Ophiophagus hannah (king cobra)
Lineage: Eukaryota; Metazoa; Chordata; Lepidosauria; Squamata; Elapidae
Rfam family: Selenocysteine insertion sequence 1
About the family: The incorporation of selenocysteine into a protein sequence is directed by an in-frame UGA codon (usually a stop codon) within the coding region of the mRNA. Selenoprotein mRNAs contain a conserved secondary structure in the 3' UTR that is required for the distinction of UGA stop from UGA selenocysteine.
Source: Rfam